UCUAGCCAUGGGCAGGUUGAAGGUUGGGUAACACUAACUGGAGGACCGAACCGACUAAUGUUGAAAAAUUAGCGGAUGACUUGUGGCUGGGGGUGAAAGGCCAAUCAAACCGGGAGAUAGCUGGUUCUCCCCGAAAGCUAUUUAGGUAGCGCCUCGUGAAUUCAUCUCCGGGGGUAGAGCACUGUUUCGGCAAGGGGGUCAUCCCGACUUACCAACCCGAUGCAAACUGCGAAUACCGGAGAAUGUUAUCACGGGAGACACACGGCGGGUGCUAACGUCCGUCGUGAAGAGGGAAACAACCCAGACCGCCAGCUAAGGUCCCAAAGUCAUGGUUAAGUGGGAAACGAUGUGGGAAGGCCCAGACAGCCAGGAUGUUGGCUUAGAAGCAGCCAUCAUUUAAAGAAAGCGUAAUAGCUCACUGGUCGAGUCGGCCUGCGCGGAAGAUGUAACGGGGCUAAACCAUGCACCGAAGCUGCGGCAGCGACACUGUGUGUUGUUGGGUAGGGGAGCGUUCUGUAAGCCUGUGAAGGUGUGCUGUGAGGCAUGCUGGAGGUAUCAGAAGUGCGAAUGCUGACAUAAGUAACGAUAAAGCGGGUGAAAAGCCCGCUCGCCGGAAGACCAAGGGUUCCUGUCCAACGUUAAUCGGGGCAGGGUGAGUCGACCCCUAAGGCGAGGCCGAAAGGCGUAGUCGAUGGGAAACAGGUUAAUAUUCCUGUACUUGGUGUUACUGCGAAGGGGGGACGGAGAAGGCUAUGUUGGCCGGGCGACGGUUGUCCCGGUUUAAGCGUGUAGGCUGGUUUUCCAGGCAAAUCCGGAAAAUCAAGGCUGAGGCGUGAUGACGAGGCACUACGGUGCUGAAGCAACAAAUGCCCUGCUUCCAGGAAAAGCCUCUAAGCAUCAGGUAACAUCAAAUCGUACCCCAAACCGACACAGGUGGUCAGGUAGAGAAUACCAAGGCGCUUGAGAGAACUCGGGUGAAGGAACUAGGCAAAAUGGUGCCGUAACUUCGGGAGAAGGCACGCUGAUAUGUAGGUGAAGUCCCUCGCGGAUGGAGCUGAAAUCAGUCGAAGAUACCAGCUGGCUGCAACUGUUUAUUAAAAACACAGCACUGUGCAAACACGAAAGUGGACGUAUACGGUGUGACGCCUGCCCGGUGCCGGAAGGUUAAUUGAUGGGGUCAGCGCAAGCGAAGCUCUUGAUCGAAGCCCCGGUAAACGGCGGCCGUAACUAUAACGGUCCUAAGGUAGCGAAAUUCCUUGUCGGGUAAGUUCCGACCUGCACGAAUGGCGUAAUGAUGGCCAGGCUGUCUCCACCCGAGACUCAGUGAAAUUGAACUCGCUGUGAAGAUGCAGUGUACCCGCGGCAAGACGGAAAGACCCCGUGAACCUUUACUAUAGCUUGACACUGAACAUUGAGCCUUGAUGUGUAGGAUAGGUGGGAGGCUUUGAAGUGUGGACGCCAGUCUGCAUGGAGCCGACCUUGAAAUACCACCCUUUAAUGUUUGAUGUUCUAACGUGGACCCGUGAUCCGGGUUGCGGACAGUGUCUGGUGGGUAGUUUGACUGGGGCGGUCUCCUCCUAAAGAGUAACGGAGGAGCACGAAGGUUGGCUAAUCCUGGUCGGACAUCAGGAGGUUAGUGCAAUGGCAUAAGCCAGCUUGACUGCGAGCGUGACGGCGCGAGCAGGUGCGAAAGCAGGUCAUAGUGAUCCGGUGGUUCUGAAUGGAAGGGCCAUCGCUCAACGGAUAAAAGGUACUCCGGGGAUAACAGGCUGAUACCGCCCAAGAGUUCAUAUCGACGGCGGUGUUUGGCACCUCGAUGUCGGCUCAUCACAUCCUGGGGCUGAAGUAGGUCCCAAGGGUAUGGCUGUUCGCCAUUUAAAGUGGUACGCGAGCUGGGUUUAGAACGUCGUGAGACAGUUCGGUCCCUAUCUGCCGUGGGCGCUGGAGAACUGAGGGGGGCUGCUCCUAGUACGAGAGGACCGGAGUGGACGCAUCACUGGUGUUCGGGUUGUCAUGCCAAUGGCACUGCCCGGUAGCUAAAUGCGGAAGAGAUAAGUGCUGAAAGCAUCUAAGCACGAAACUUGCCCCGAGAUGAGU
RNAcentral lists this ribosomal RNA (2097 nucleotides) under Escherichia coli. RNAcentral's name for it is "partial 23S ribosomal RNA". It matches the Rfam family "Bacterial large subunit ribosomal RNA", at positions 729 to 2809 of the family's 2925-position model. The record is from RNAcentral. Lineage: Bacteria; Pseudomonadati; Pseudomonadota; Gammaproteobacteria; Enterobacterales; Enterobacteriaceae.